This 73-nucleotide transfer RNA is filed under the name Candidatus Stackebrandtia faecavium. Its description in RNAcentral is "tRNA-Lys". It matches the Rfam family "tRNA". From Rfam's summary of the family: Transfer RNA (tRNA) molecules are approximately 80 nucleotides in length. Their secondary structure includes four short double-helical elements and three loops (D, anti-codon, and T loops). Lineage: Bacteria; Bacillati; Actinomycetota; Actinomycetes; Glycomycetales; Glycomycetaceae. The record is from RNAcentral.
GGGCUCUUAGCUCAAUUGGUAGAGCUGCGGACUUUUAAUCCGUAGGUUCCGGGUUCGAGUCCCGGGGGGCCCA